This 253-nucleotide ribosomal RNA is filed under the name uncultured bacterium. RNAcentral describes it as "partial 16S ribosomal RNA". It matches the Rfam family "Bacterial small subunit ribosomal RNA", at positions 524 to 776 of the family's 1533-position model. The record is from RNAcentral.
UACGUAGGCAGCGAGCGUUGUUCGGAGUUACUGGGCGUAAAGGGUGUGUAGGCGGUUCUCUAAGUUUGGGGUGAAAUCUCCCGGCUCAACCGGGAGGGUGCGCCGAAAACUGGGGGACUCGAGUGCGGGAUGGGAGAGUAGAAUUCCUGGUGUAGCGGUGAAAUGCGUAGAUAUUGGGAGGAACACCAGUGGCGAAGGCGGCUCACUGGACCGGUACUGACGCUGAUGCGCGAAAGCGUGGGGAGCAAACGGG